This 467-nucleotide ribosomal RNA is filed under the name uncultured bacterium. Its description in RNAcentral is "partial 16S ribosomal RNA". It matches the Rfam family "Bacterial small subunit ribosomal RNA", at positions 28 to 507 of the family's 1533-position model. The record is from RNAcentral.
GAUGAACGCUGACAGAAUGCUUAACACAUGCAAGUCAACUUGAAUUUGGGUUUUUAACUUCGGUUUGGGUGGCGGACGGGUGAGUAACGCGUAAAGAACUUGCCUCACAGCUAGGGACAACAUUUGGAAACGAAUGCUAAUACCUAAUAUUAUGAUAAUAGGGCAUCCUAUAAUUAUGAAAGCUAUAAGCGCUGUGAGAGAGCUUUGCGUCCCAUUAGCUAGUUGGAGAGGUAACGGCUCACCAAGGCGAUGAUGGGUAGCCGGCCUGAGAGGGUGAUCGGCCACAAGGGGACUGAGACACGGCCCUUACUCCUACGGGAGGCAGCAGUGGGGAAUAUUGGACAAUGGACCAAGAGUCUGAUCCAGCAAUUCUGUGUGCACGAUGAAGUUUUUCGGAAUGUAAAGUGCUUUCAGUUGGGAAGAAAGAAAUGACGGUACCAACAGAAGAAGAGACGGCUAAAUACGUG